UGGGGAAUCUUGCGCAAUGGGCGAAAGCCUGACGCAGCCAUGCCGCGUGAGUGAUGAAGGCCUUAGGGUUGUAAAACUCUUUCACCGGGGACGAUAAUGACGGUACCCGGAGAAGAAGCCCCGGCUAACUUCGUGCCAGCAGCCGCGGUAAUACGAAGGGGGCUAGCGUUGCUCGGAAUUACUGGGCGUAAAGGGCGCGUAGGCGGAUCAGCAAGUUGGGGGUGAAAGCCCGGGGCUCAACCUCGGAAUUGCCUUCAAAACUGCUGAUCUAGAGUACGGGAGAGGUGUGUGGAACUCCGAGUGUAGAGGUGAAAUUCGUAGAUAUUCGGAAGAACACCAGUGGCGAAGGCGACACACUGGCCCGUUACUGACGCUGAGGCGCGAAAGCGUGGGGAGCAAAACAGGAUUAGAUACCCUGGUAAUCCACGCUGUAAACGAUGAUUGCUAGUUGUCGGCAGGCAUGCCUGUCGGUGACGCAGCUAACGCAUUAAGCAAUCCGCCUGGGGAGUACGGUCGCAAGAUUAAAAACUCAAAUGAAUUGACGGGGUCAUAGCUGUUUCCU
Molecule: ribosomal RNA, 562 nt
Filed under: uncultured bacterium
Lineage: Bacteria
Description: partial 16S ribosomal RNA
Rfam family: Bacterial small subunit ribosomal RNA
Source: RNAcentral